GGAGUCUGGUCCGUGUCUCAGUACCAGUGUGGGGGACCUUCCUCUCAGAACCCCUACUGAUCGAAGGCUCGGUGGGCCGUUACCCCGCCGACUGCCUAAUCAGACGCAUCCCCAUCCCUUAGCGAAGAUUCUUUGCUCCAACUUAGAUGCCUGCAUUGGAGAACAUAGGGAAUUAAUCCGACUUUCGCCGGGCUGUGCCCUACUACGGGGAAGGUUGGAUACGCGUUACUCACCCGUGCGCCGGUCGCCAUCACAGAUAGCAAGCUACCUGCAUGCUGCCCCUCGACUUGCAUGUGUUAAGCCUGUAGCUAGCGUUCAUC
This 320-nucleotide ribosomal RNA is filed under the name uncultured Prevotella sp. RNAcentral's name for it is "partial 16S ribosomal RNA". Lineage: Bacteria; Pseudomonadati; Bacteroidota; Bacteroidia; Bacteroidales; Prevotellaceae. The record is from RNAcentral.